GACCAGAAACUGGUAUGUAUAUCUUGAGUUCAGUGAAUUUUAAAUAUUCUUUAGUUAGCACAAAGCUUUUAUUCUUUGCAGAACAAUGUUGGAAACUAACAUUAGUCAUGUAACCUUUGAAAUCACAGCACUGUAAAAAAGAAAAUUGAAUAUAAAUUAUUUCUUAGACUCCCAUUUUUACAGUUUAAAUACUAAAGUAUGAGAAACUCAAUUUGAUAUACUCUGACUAGAUUAUCACUCCAUGAUGCAGAUUUCAAGGACACUGUUAUGAUAAAAAGUGCACAUUAAUUCAAGACACAUCUCACACUUCCCAAUAUGUGAUUUAUGGUUUAAAAUAUUCGUUGCUCUUUUGCUGAAUUUUUAAUGGCUUUAUUUUAACUAUUUUCAUAGCUGUAGAUUUCAUUUGGAUGCAAACACAAAAUUUUAUAUAUUUCUUGGAAAGUAAGUGGAAAUGGGGGAGAAGAGUUUUUGAUGAUACUCUGAAAUUCUCCCUAUGAAACCUCAACAAAAAAUAUCAGUAUCUAAUAUCAUCUUAAUUAUUAUAUACAAUUAAAAUAUGUAACAAAAUUGAUAAAUAUACAGCGAAAAAGUGAGAGAAACACGAAGAAUAGUUGAGUUUAGCUAAUUUAUUUAAUUUAUGAAAAACUAAUACACAAGAAUUAAAUUGUGGCAAGAAUGAUUGUACUGAUUAAUAAAUAUCAUUCAAGAGGUGAGCAAGCUCUGUACUAUACAAGCAAAGAAGCAAAGUGUAUUGACAAGCAAACUUGACAAUAUAUCACAUAUACUGUUUAUGUUAUCAUAUGCUUAGCGAAACACAGAAACACACACACACAGAAACUCAGUAAAUUAUGACAAAUUUCUAAUGAUAGACUAGUCUCUGGUAUAAAAAUAAUGUAACAAAUUAAGAAAUAACAUAUGCAAAAAGAAGAAACUAAAACUAUAAUUCCAGAUUAUUUAGAAAAUAGCAGU
RNAcentral lists this long non-coding RNA (969 nucleotides) under Homo sapiens (human). RNAcentral describes it as "HSALNT0323863". Lineage: Eukaryota; Metazoa; Chordata; Mammalia; Primates; Hominidae. The record is from RNAcentral.